GAAAAUUCCGCCAAGUAAACAACAAAGGGGGAAAGGGAUUUGGGAUGUUGUCAGUUGUAUGUAUACAUUAUGUGCGACGGUGACUGCAAGAAACAAGGAAUGUGGAGCUAAUGCGUGCUGCUAAGGAUGGAAAGGUCUUGUGUUUAUUGGUUGUGCCUGAGUCACCAGCCACAGGUGUACCUUAUUUCCAUUUUAGGGAGUCUAUAUACAUUUGAGGUGAGCGGCAGAUUUAAUUUUGAAGAUGGGUGACUUUCAGAUGUUGUGAUGAAGAUUGUUGAAAGGGAUUAUCCGCAUAGAACCAAUCCAUAUGAAUGUGCAAGUCAGGACUUGUACAACACCUGAGUACCUAGAUGACUGUUGAACUAAUUGGUGAACAAGAAAAGAUGUCAGAGAGGGGAAUCCAAUACAGAUGUCAUGAUCAAGAAUAUAUACUCUUAUCAAUGAUAUGAUCAAGAAUAUGUAAACUUUUAACGAUUUAAAAUAUCUUAUUUGUAAAUCACUCUUCAUUACUUAAUUGUUCACACAUUAUCCUCUACACUUAUGCUAUAAAUCUUAUCUGUUUAUUAAUCACCCCCUCUUAUCUAACCCCCCUGCUGAUCGUAAUGACCUGUGUAUUGACUCCUGAUCUUAAGGAUCUUGUAAUGUGCUCCUAAUCGUCAGGAACGGAUCUUGAGUAUAUAUAUAUAGUGCGACAGAAUUUUAGAAUAAGAUAGGAGGAUGGAAAUAUAG
This is a long non-coding RNA of Saccostrea cuccullata (small rock oyster), 729 nucleotides long. RefSeq lists it as uncharacterized. The record is from RefSeq and is a predicted model, not a curated record. The transcript is spliced from 4 exons. NCBI's taxonomy places the organism in Eukaryota, Metazoa, Mollusca, Bivalvia, Ostreida, Ostreidae.